ACGACUAAACCACGUUGGAAACACCAGUUUUCGUUUGAUCAACUAAGUUGGGCAAUGUCAGGCUCGGUUAGUACUUGCAUGGAUGAUCGGCUGGGAAUACCGGGUGUUUCGGCC
This 114-nucleotide ribosomal RNA is filed under the name Fasciola hepatica (liver fluke). The record is from RNAcentral. Lineage: Eukaryota; Metazoa; Platyhelminthes; Trematoda; Plagiorchiida; Fasciolidae.